GUAUAGUUUUAUUGACUUUUUAAAAAAGCCACACUACAAUCCAUAAUAAAUCAUGUGUAAUAAAAACAUAGACAAGGACGUCAAUCCCUAUUUGUCUACGAAAGGUGCACAGGUGGAUGUAAAGGUUGAGAGUGCACGUUGCCCUUUGAAGGGGGCCAGCACAUCCCAUUUGAAAUCAAUAAUGAUCCUUCCGCAGGUUCACCUACGGAAA
Molecule: unclassified non-coding RNA, 211 nt
Filed under: uncultured fungus
Lineage: Eukaryota; Fungi
Description: sequence contains ITS1
Source: RNAcentral